RNAcentral lists this ribosomal RNA (468 nucleotides) under uncultured bacterium. Its description in RNAcentral is "partial 16S ribosomal RNA". It matches the Rfam family "Bacterial small subunit ribosomal RNA", at positions 28 to 507 of the family's 1533-position model. The record is from RNAcentral.
AACGAACGCUGGCGGCGUGCUUAACACAUGCAAGUCGAACGGAAAGGCCCUGCUUGUGUGGGGUGCUCGAGUGGCGAACGGGUGCGUAACACGUGAGUAUCCUGCCCUUGACUUUGGGAUAACUUCAGGAAACUGGAGCUAAUACCAUAUAGGAUCUCCUGCUCCAUGGUGGGGGGUGGAUCGUUUCGGCGGUUGGGGAUGGACUCGCGGCUUAUCAGCUUGUUGGUGGGGUAGUGGCUUACCCAGGCUUUGACGGGUAGCCGGCCUGAGAGGGUGACCGGCGACAUUGGGACUGCGAUACGGCCCAGACUCCUACGGGAGGCAGCAGUGGGGAAUAUGGCACAACGGGCGGAAGCCGGAUGAAGAGACCUCGCGGGCGUGAUGACGGUCUUUGGGUUGUAAAAAGCAUUCGCCUGUGACGAAGCUUGAGUGACGGUAAUGAGAAAAGAAGCACCGGCUAACUACGUG